UACGGAGGGUGCUAGCGUUGUUCGGAAUUACUGGGCGUAAAGCGCACGUAGGCGGCUUUGUAAGUUAGAGGUGAAAGCCCGGGGCUCAACUCCGGAAUUGCCUUUAAGACUGCAUCGCUAGAAUUGUGGAGAGGUAAGUGGAAUUCCGAGUGUAGAGGUGAAAUUCGUAGAUAUUCGGAAGAACACCAGUGGCGAAGGCGACUUACUGGACACAUAUUGACGCUGAGGUGCGAAAGCGUGGGGAGCAAACAGG
RNAcentral lists this ribosomal RNA (253 nucleotides) under uncultured bacterium. RNAcentral's name for it is "partial 16S ribosomal RNA". It matches the Rfam family "Bacterial small subunit ribosomal RNA", at positions 524 to 776 of the family's 1533-position model. The record is from RNAcentral.